This is a long non-coding RNA of Phyllostomus discolor (pale spear-nosed bat), 264 nucleotides long. RefSeq lists it as uncharacterized. The transcript is spliced from 2 exons. Lineage: Eukaryota; Metazoa; Chordata; Mammalia; Chiroptera; Phyllostomidae. The record is from RefSeq and is a predicted model, not a curated record.
GGGAUAGAACACCUGCCUCAACUGCUGAUGUGAUGAAGGAGGUACUACCAACCAUCAUCAAACCUCUUGACGAAUUCUCCCAAGUAUGUCCACCUUGGAUUCUCUAUCUAUAUGAGUUGCCCAUUGACUUGGGGACUUGUGGUCUCUCUUGUGAAACCUGCAUAACUGCUUACACAGGGAAUGAGAGAGCUCUGUUCUUGAGUUGCACUUUUCAUCAAGUCGUGGAGCGUAAAUCUGGGCAAUAAACGAUCAGAAGGUACUGUA